Molecule: long non-coding RNA, 238 nt
Organism: Coregonus clupeaformis (lake whitefish)
Lineage: Eukaryota; Metazoa; Chordata; Actinopteri; Salmoniformes; Salmonidae
Exons: 3
Source: RefSeq, a predicted model, not a curated record
UCUUGUGACUUUCCGCUCCGUGCAGAGUAGAACACCAGACAACAUGAUUGAACAAAGGAGGAAUGUUAAAAUGAUAUCGGACGGUAACUUUUGAAAAUGAGCUAAGCAGACUACUGCUGUAUUAUUAUUUGUAUGUUGGCGGAAGUCCUAUUUUUCAGUCGAACGGAAGUGAAGGUGGAUUUCACAUGUUCUCUAUUCUCCAUUUUGUCUUGUGACUUUAGGCAGAGAGUCACAUGUU